CCUACGGGGGGCAGCAGUGGGGAAUAUUGGACAAUGGGGGCAACCCUGAUCCAGCCAUGCCGCGUGUGUGAAGAAGGCCCUCGGGUUGUAAAGCACUUUCAGUGAGGAAGAACGCCUGGUGGUUAAUACCCAUCAGGAAAGACAUCACUCACAGAAGAAGCACCGGCUAACUCCGUGCCAGCAGCCGCGGUAAUACGGAGGGUGCGAGCGUUAAUCGGAAUUACUGGGCGUAAAGCGCGCGUAGGUGGCUUGAUAAGCCGGUUGUGAAAGCCCCGGGCUCAACCUGGGAACGGCAUCCGGAACUGUCAAGCUAGAGUGCAGGAGAGGAAGGUAGAAUUCCCGGUGUAGCGGUGAAAUGCGUAGAGAUCGGGAGGAAUACCAGUGGCGAAGGCGGCCUUAUGGACUGACACUGACACUGAGGUGCGAAAGCGUGGGUAGCAAACAGGAUUAGAUACCCGUGUAGUC
Molecule: ribosomal RNA, 465 nt
Filed under: Vreelandella stevensii
Lineage: Bacteria; Pseudomonadati; Pseudomonadota; Gammaproteobacteria; Oceanospirillales; Halomonadaceae
Description: partial 16S ribosomal RNA
Rfam family: Bacterial small subunit ribosomal RNA
Source: RNAcentral